GACACUGAAAUGGGGGCUAAAAGCAGGCACCAAUUUGACAGUGUUUCCCCUGCACUUUUUUUUCAUCACAAUAUUCCACCUUUCAACAUAACUCAGUUUGGUAGAACCUUCCUCACUUUCCAGGGACUUGCUCCCAUGCAUCGAAGGCAAUUAUCAAGAGGCUGAAAGUGAUAUGAACUGAAUACACUGCAGAGGAGUUGAGACACCGAGAACAAGAAUUGCGAGACCAACAAGUCGCCACCUUUGCUCCCAAUCCUAUGCGGGUACUGUCCAGCCAUGCCAACAGAAGAGGAAUGUCUGUGCUGCAACGAAUUCGAUCACGGACAGUUCUUACUGGAGAGGGUCAAUGCAGACCCCAUGGAUCAUGUGUGUGUGUGACAGACCAUCAACGUUUCCUAUCGAUAUAGGGGUGCUGGAGACGUUCUAGACCAGCUGGACCAGGAGGGCAAAUGAUAAACAAUUAAGUUGCUUUGCUGUCAGUAGUUAGCUAGCAAUAUAAGCUCUCUUUUUCCACAAGGCAGUGUUGUUCAUUACAGUAGAAUUUUGUGAUCGAUUCGCC
Molecule: long non-coding RNA, 559 nt
Filed under: Salmo salar (Atlantic salmon)
Lineage: Eukaryota; Metazoa; Chordata; Actinopteri; Salmoniformes; Salmonidae
Description: lncRNA (ENSSSAG00000092406.1)
Source: RNAcentral